AGUGUUGUGGCUCAGUGGUAGAGCACUUGCCUGGCAUGUGUGAGGCACUGGGUUCAAUUCUCAGCACCACAU
This 72-nucleotide transfer RNA is filed under the name Marmota marmota marmota (Alpine marmot). It matches the Rfam family "tRNA". From Rfam's summary of the family: Transfer RNA (tRNA) molecules are approximately 80 nucleotides in length. Their secondary structure includes four short double-helical elements and three loops (D, anti-codon, and T loops). RNAcentral also lists the same sequence under 2 other names. The record is from Rfam by way of RNAcentral. Lineage: Eukaryota; Metazoa; Chordata; Mammalia; Rodentia; Sciuridae.